GAUGAACGCUGGCGGCGUGCCUAAUACAUGCAAGUCGAGCGAACGGACGAGAAGCUUGCUUCUCUGAUGUUAGCGGCGGACGGGUGAGUAACACGUGGAUAACCUACCUAUAAGACUGGGAUAACUUCGGGAAACCGGAGCUAAUACCGGAUAAUAUUUUGAACCGCAUGGUUCAAAAGUGAAAGACGGUCUUGCUGUCACUUAUAGAUGGAUCCGCGCUGCAUUAGCUAGUUGGUAAGGUAACGGCUUACCAAGGCAACGAUGCAUAGCCGACCUGAGAGGGUGACCGGCCACACUGGAACUGAGACACGGUCCAGACUCCUACGGGAGGCAGCAGUAGGGAAUCUUCCGCAAUGGGCGAAAGCCUGACGGAGCAACGCCGCGUGAGUGAUGAAGGUCUUCGGAUCGUAAAACUCUGUUAUUAGGGAAGAACAUAUGUGUAAGUAACUGUGCACAUCUUGACGGUACCUAAUCAGAAAGCCACGGCUAACUACGUGCCAGCAGCCGCGGUAAUACGUAGGUGGCAAGCGUUAUCCGGAAUUAUUGGGCGUAAAGCGCGCGUAGGCGGUUUUUUAAGUCUGAUGUGAAAGCCUACGGCUCAACCGUGGAGGGUCAUUGGAAACUGGAAAACUUGAGUGCAGAAGAGGAAAGUGGAAUUCCAUGUGUAGCGGUGAAAUGCGCAGAGAUAUGGAGGAACACCAGUGGCGAAGGCGACUUUCUGGUCUGUAACUGACGCUGAUGUGCGAAAGCGUGGGGAUCAAACAGGAUUAGAUACCCUGGUAGUCCACGCCGUAAACGAUGAGUGCUAAGUGUUAGGGGGUUUCCGCCCCUUAGUGCUGCAGCUAACGCAUUAAGCACUCCGCCUGGGGAGUACGACCGCAAGGUUGAAACUCAAAGGAAUUGACGGGGACCCGCACAAGCGGUGGAGCAUGUGGUUUAAUUCGAAGCAACGCGAAGAACCUUACCAAAUCUUGACAUCCUUUGACAACUCUAGAGAUAGAGCCUUCCCCUUCGGGGGACAAAGUGACAGGUGGUGCAUGGUUGUCGUCAGCUCGUGUCGUGAGAUGUUGGGUUAAGUCCCGCAACGAGCGCAACCCUUAAGCUUAGUUGCCAUCAUUAAGUUGGGCACUCUAAGUUGACUGCCGGUGACAAACCGGAGGAAGGUGGGGAUGACGUCAAAUCAUCAUGCCCCUUAUGAUUUGGGCUACACACGUGCUACAAUGGACAAUACAAAGGGCAGCGAAACCGCGAGGUCAAGCAAAUCCCAUAAAGUUGUUCUCAGUUCGGAUUGUAGUCUGCAACUCGACUACAUGAAGCUGGAAUCGCUAGUAAUCGUAGAUCAGCAUGCUACGGUGAAUACGUUCCCGGGUCU
Molecule: ribosomal RNA, 1372 nt
Filed under: uncultured bacterium
Lineage: Bacteria
Description: bacterial SSU rRNA
Rfam family: Bacterial small subunit ribosomal RNA
Source: RNAcentral